RNAcentral lists this ribosomal RNA (446 nucleotides) under uncultured bacterium. Its description in RNAcentral is "bacterial SSU rRNA". It matches the Rfam family "Bacterial small subunit ribosomal RNA", at positions 330 to 793 of the family's 1533-position model. The record is from RNAcentral.
CCCAGACUCCUACGGGAGGCAGCAGUGGGGAAUAUUGCACAAUGGGGGAAACCCUGAUGCAGCAACGCCGCGUGAGUGAAGAAGUAUUUCGGUAUGUAAAGCUCUCUCAGCAGGGAAGAGAAUGACGGUACCUGACUAAGAAGCCCCGGCUAACUACGUGCCAGCAGCCGCGGUAAUACGUAGGGGGCGAGCGUUAUCCGGAUUUACUGGGUGUAAAGGGAGCGUAGACGGUUCUGCAAGUCUGAAGUGAAAGCCCGUGGCUUAACCGCGGAACGGCUUUGGAAACUGUGGAACUGGAGUGCUGGAGAGGCAAGCGGAAUUCCUAGUGUAGCGGUGAAAUGCGUAGAUAUUAGGAGGAACACCAGUGGCGAAGGCGGCUUACUGGACUGUAACUGACGUUGAGGCUCGAAAGCGAGGGGAGCAAACAGGAUUAGAUACCCGGGUAA